RNAcentral lists this non-coding RNA (46 nucleotides) under Schistosoma margrebowiei. Lineage: Eukaryota; Metazoa; Platyhelminthes; Trematoda; Strigeidida; Schistosomatidae. The record is from RNAcentral.
GUAGUACUGAGGAGUCCCACAAUAGGACGAAACGACCGUCGAUUGC